UGCUUCGGAUAUAGGAUCGAUUGCAUGUGCUAUAAUAUUCAUCUUUUCUAAAUUUUCCAAAUGCUUAAGGCAUUGAGAAGGGAAAAGUCUAGAACUGGAUAUGACUAAAGUGAUUAAGCAAUUGUCGAGGACAAUCUGAGGUUCGCCAAAGAUUGGUUGCUCAGGGAAAGUUGGAAGUAUGAUGUAAGUUGUCGGAAAGGACCAUAUUGACAUAUUCUGAAAAGAAGUAACUCUUGUUCGGAAGUGAUAGUCAAAAUGGGACUAUGGAAAUGUCUCCAUAGGUGGAAGUUAUUCAAUCUAUGUAAGAUUAGAAAACCUUAAUGCAAGAAGGAUGUUCAAAGCAAUGUACUUUGAAUAUGAGACUUCCGUUCCAUAGAAGUUGACCUUCUUUGGAAUACUUUGUAAUGACUGGUGACAAGGUUUUGGUGACUUUGUGCAUAAUCAUUACAAGAGGAACAUUGCAUAAAAGUUUAAAAUCUAACAGAUUUUUUGGUAAAUGAUAGGAAUCGGGGAUUCUCACAUUUACAAUAAGGAUUUGGGAUUGUGAAAUGAGUAUCAUUGGAAUCAUGUUCAAUUGAUCUACAUCACAAUGUAAGGAUCAUAGACAAACAUAGUGUGCAUACUUGGAGUAUGGCAUAACUAUUGUUUAGAAAAACAAAGUGUACAUGCUAGGAGCAUGGGACGAUUGUUGUUUUUAUUCAAGUCUUAAGUUGAUUGUUUGAAACAUUAUACAAUGAAUAAUGUGUAAUCAAUAUGGUGAUAAAUAAAAGGUUAUGAACCUUGGAAAAUUAUUAUUUUGCAUGUAUUUAGACAAACAUAGAUCCAAGGUUUAUUAGGGUUGCAUGCACACUUAGGAAGUGUUAGAUUGCUCAAAACCCAACAGGAAUCCUUAGAAAAUCCUAUAUUUUCCAGAAAAGUACGUUGUAAGUUAAAUCCUUUGAGUUGUGUGUAAGUAUUAUCAUUCAAAACCUUCAGUUGUAAAAGUACGAUAAUAAAUCUCGUAUGAGUAACAUAGAUGAAGAAAAUUUAUGCCUGUUGACAUUAGUAGUGGUGCAAACUUCCAUUAGUAUUAGAUAUUUACUUACUUCGGGAUGUUAGCUUAGACUUAAGUCUUAGUGUAUUAAUUUGGAUAAAGGUGUAACCCCUAAUGUAACCAGACUGAAUGAUAAUAGAGAACCCGAUGACCUUCCUGGUCAUGCGUAGUGUAGUGAUGUAGUGCCACCCCUGGGCCUAGUCGGCUCGGACUGUAGUUAACAGUCGGGAUGUAAUAGUGUCUACCCCGUAUAGAUCUAUACAUGUAGUGUUGCCUUCCUUCCGGAAAGCCCUGGUCACAUGGGAUAAGCGCGGUAGAGAGUGUCUUAUAGAGAGAUAGUGUGUUAUACUCUAGAUUAGUGUAUUCUCUUGUAUUAUAGUAUAGUAGUCUUUUUGUAUAGUUCAUAGAGUGUUCUAUUAUACGUGUAUUAACUUGUAAUAACAACAGUUAUAGUGAGUAUAGUAGUAGAGGUAACGAGCAGUAGUCUUAACUAUACCUAUUAUAGUUAACUAGAGUGUAGGAUUUCAUGCCUUUGAAUAGAAAGGUAGCGGGUAAGAUGAAGACUUUCAUAUCUAACACAAAUAUAUAUAAUAUAUAACUAAGAAAUCAACGACAGUCGGACGGACAAUAGGUACCCUAAGACCACAUCAAACAAGAACAGGAAAUAAGGGGAGCUAUCGGUCCUAAGUCCUUCAAGUCUUACUUAUAUAAAUAUAUUAGUGUAGAUAUAUUUUAAAAGAAAAGUAGUUUAAACAUAGUUUUGAAAAUAGUUUAAGAAAAAUUUAAUCUUAAAAAUGCAUUUGAUAAUCAACAAAAAUAGUUUUAUUGGUAAGCAGCUAAAAGUGUGGAAAAUCCCUUUUUGAUGAUAAUUGGUGAAUCACAUAUGAUUUAAUAAUAAAAACUUGUAGAAUUUUACUUGUAUCUCCCCCUAAAACAUGUAAAAACAUUUAAAAAGGUUCAUUAAGGGGUAUGAACUCACCUGCAAUGAGGAGAUCGGGUGGAUGUGUCGGAUGAGCGUUUGGUGUCAAGUAAAGACUCGUGCACCCUUUAUGACCCUAGUAACAUAUGAAGACAUAUGUUUACAAGUAAGUAGUGAUUUAGACUCUAAUUAUACACAUAUAGACAUCCUAUUGUGGUUAAAGGUCUUAUGGUUGAGUGUUAGAAGGCUAAUAGGUUGCAAGGAAAGAGUAUAAGACCUCACCAUGGAGUUUACUCUUCUAAAACUCACCUUAAGUGAAUUUACGGUUGGGAGACCACAUCCCCCAUGAGUUUACGGCUGUAAACACAUGGGAGGAGUGUAAUUGAGUGUUUUCAAGCCUCUUGUGGUUCUAGCAAUGAUUCUAAGGCAAUAUACAAGGCUAUAGGGGUGUUUUAGGUUAAAGGAGGGUAAUCCCUUGGAGUUUACGGUCCCAGGACCACUCCAUGGGAGUUUACGGCCAUAAACCCCAUGUUUUACGGUAGUAAACUCUUGGAAGCCAUCCAUACUUUGAUUUCAAGGUCCUAGGCUCAUUCCUAACAAGUUCUAGUGAGAGUGUAACGCUUUUUAGGGGUUUAGAGGGUCAUUUGGCAUGGUUUAAGGGGGUUUACGGUCUAAGAAUAUGCUUGGGCCGUAGACUCUAGUUUACCCUUAAAAUGUUGAUGUUUAGGUGUUCCAAGUCUGAAAUAUCAAGCCCCUAAGUCAUAUCUUAAGCCUAAAUGUGGUUUGGAAGUGUUUUGGCCUUGGUUUGCAAGCUUAGAGGGUGUUUACGGUCUAAGCAUGUGCUUGGACUGUAAAACCUCUUUCAAGCCCUAAAACUUGUUGAUUCAAGGUUCAAACACUUCUAGGUUAGGUCCAAAACUAGUUUUUAAGCUUAAAGGGGAGAAAUUGGGCACUUUUGACAUCAUUUUAGGGGUUUACGGCCUAAGGAGGUUCUUAGGCUGGAAACUCCUCUUUUUCAGCAUUCUUGCAUGAUUUUUGAGUUAAAACACAAAUCAAUGAUGUCUAGAACAAGUUAGGGUAAGGGAACUUACGUUUUGGAGGCGGAAACUUGCGGUUUUGAGGUGAAAUCGGACUUGAGGAGAGAGAGUAGAGAGAGGAAGUGGGUCUAGUGUGGUAAAAGGUUUCUAAGUAGUGUCCACCCACCUUUAUAUAGGACUUGGGUGUUGUACCCGGUAUACGACUACCCGAUACUUAUGUUUAACGAGGUUUAAAAUUUUUACUCGGUUAAAUGAUCGUAAUUAAAAAUAAACUUUUUCCAAUAAAAUGGAAAGAUAAUUUUACGUGUUUUUAUUUAUUUUAUUACGAUGAUAUUAACAUAAAAUACAAAUAAAUAAAACAUUUAUUUAUUUGUCGACCCCAAUUUAACGGAAGUUUUAUAAAAUAGAAUAUUCUAUUAACGGAAACGGGUUAUAAUGACGAAAUAAAUUUUGGGUUGUCACACCUCUGCUACGCGAAUGUGACCAAGCAUAUAACUCUUAACUCAAUAUGAGAAGAGUAUGGUAGCUCGUGACUUAUGUGAAUGUAACAUCCUAGUUGGGAAGGAACGAAGGGUAGAUUCAAUUCAUUAAGGUUUCACAUGAAGUCUAUUGAGGCUUAGGACAAUAUGCAACAACAUUCUUCUAAUGACAACUAGUUAGUACAAAGAUAUGGAAAUUAUACAUGUCCCAUCAUUCGUUUUAGCAAGAUAACCUACAAUGGUCCUCGAAAAAUAUUAAACGAGAAAGAAAAUAUUUUUGUAUUUUGAUAAUUGCUUGAAAGAUAAAGAAAAAAAAACAAAAUAGAAUAUUUUAGUAUUUUAAAUAUGAAAGAGAAAAACAUAAAUAAGGAGAAUAUUUUUAUAUUUGGACCACUUUAAAGAAAAAUAAAACGAAACGAGCGUAAGUGUACAAAAUAUAAAAAGAUUAGACCACGAAUGUUCGCUUUUAAGAAAUUUGAGGAGCAAGAUAGGGUGAAUGUUCGACUCAAUUUGUGUCCCGAAAAAAACGGAAACGUACUAAAAUGAGUGUUCGUUCUAUUUUGCUUGUCUAAAAAGUAAGAACGAAAGCGAACAAGUAACCCAAAAGUGAACGAGCUACUUAGAAGGAAAUAGUGGCUUUGGAACUUAUUUCGCCUCCAUCAUUACUAGGCCUUGGAGUAUUCUAUUAAAUGAUGCUUUCGGCAAGGCUUUCGUGAAUAUGUCAGCCAAUUUGUCUGUUGGACAAACAAAUUGAAUCUCAACGUUGCCGUCCUCUACAUGAUCCUUGAUGAAAUGUUACCUCAGUGUUAUGUGUUUUGUCUUUGAAUGUGCACUGGGUUGUGAUAGAUGUGAAUUGCACUUUCAGAGUCACAGUAGAGUGGGAUUCGCUUCAUAUUCAGUCCAUAAUCUCGGCUGUUGACAAUGAAAUGCAUGUUUGCUUUUUGGAUUGCCAACUAACUAACUUGCCAUCAAGAAAUUGGCAUCCACCAGUCGUUCUUUUUCUAUCUAAGUGGCACCCACCAAAAUCAGCGUCCGAAAACGCUUGAACAAAGAAUCCUGAGUUCGCAGGAUACCAUAUGCCUAUAAAUGAAGUUCGUUUCAGGUAUCUGAAAAUAUUAUUCACUGCGAACAUGUCAGGUUCGCGAGGGUUUGCUUGGAACCUUGCACAAUAACAAAUAGAAAACAUAAUAUCCUGUCUACUAGCUGUUAGAUACAUCAAGGAACCAAUCAUCUGACGAUAAAUGGUCAUAUCCGUAGCUUGUUUUUCCAGAGAUGGUGUAAGUUUCAUUAUGAAUGCCAUUGGAACAUUCACAUUAGAGUCUCCCAUCAUGCCAAACUUAGAGAGAAAAGUUUUCGAAUAUGCUUCCUGAUUAAUGAAAAUACUUUCUAGUCCCUGCCUUAUAUUCAAUCCAAGGAAAAAUUUAAUAGGACCCAUUGAACUCAUCUCAAAUUUAGUUUCCAUCAACUUUCAGAAUUCAGCUAUGAGGCUGGGAUUAGUAGAUCCGAAGAUGAUGUUAUCAACAUAAAUUUGGACGAUCAUCAAACGGUUACCCUCAUUCUUACGAAAGAAUGGUGGGUCAACCGAAACUUGUUUAAACUUAGACAUUUUAAGCAAGCGAGUAAGAUUUUCAUACCUGGCUCUCGGAGCUUGCUUCAGUCUGUAAACUGCCUUAUCCUGCAACAGUGAUUUGAUGGGUUUUAUACAAACAAUCCUAUGUGUGCAUGCAAUCCUAAUUUAGAUCUAUGUUUUCACUAUUAGAUACACAACAUUAUGAACACAUGGAUAAAACCCUAAUAUAGCAUGCUAUUUUCGAAAAUCACAUAAAAGGUUAGAUCACAUACCUCUUGUUGUUAUAUUGCAAUAACAACUUAAAUCUUCAAACCCUUAGUCUUGAAAGCGAGCACCACAAGUGUAGUGCCUCUAAUGGCUCACAAACACCACAAGCAAUUGGAGAGGCUAUAGAGAGAGAAGGGAUGAGGUAGAAAUCGUCCUUGGGAGCUCUUAGAAGCAAGUGGACAAUUUCUUAAGGCCUAGGGGUCUUUAUAUAUGGUUGGGAUUAGGGUUUCAGUCCUUAUCCUUAUCCAGUUACUUGCCCACCAAGCAACCACAAGAUAAGCCUUGAAAAACCCUUAUCUCUUGGACCUUGUACGAUUUCAAGGAUAUCCUGAUCCUUAAAUUCGUCCAUCCUUUAACAAGGAUUACCAUUGCCCUAUUUUGCAACUAUCACAUAAUUACAAUUCAGCCCCUCUAGUGUAAUUAAUGACACUUGAUCACAAAAUUAAUUCCUAAUUAAUUAUUGACCAAUAUUAAUUAAACAAAUAUGAUUUCUCCUUUAAUAUAUUAUUCUUAUAACAUAUUAAUAAAUCAUAAUAACCUCUUUCUCUAUUUAUUUCUCCAGUCAAGUUGCUUUGGUGAAGGCAACCCAAAAGGACCAUGCACAACCGGGUCAAGUAUUUACCAAAUAUGGUUACGGGCUUAGACACUAAUCCAACAGUCUCCCACUUGGAUAAGUCUAGUAACCACAAAUGUAACGUACAACUCGAUUAGCAAUCGUAGCUCUCAAAGACGCUGUCNNNNNNNNNNNNNNNNNNNNNNNNNNNNNNNNNNNNNNNNNNNNNNNNNNNNNNNNNNNNNNNNNNNNNNNNNNNNNNNNNNNNNNNNNNNNNNNNNNNNNNNNNNNNNNNNNNNNNNNNNNNNNNNNNNNNNNNNNNNNNNNNNNNNNNNNNNNNNNNNNNNNNNNNNNNNNNNNNNNNNNNNNNNNNNNNNNNNNNNNNNNNNNNNNNNNNNNNNNNNNNNNNNAGAUAGGUUAUGAACCUUGGAAAAUUAUUAUUUUGCAUGUAUUUAGACAAACAUAGAUCCAAGGUUUAUUAGGGUUGCAUGCACACUUAGGAAGUGUUAGAUUGCUCAAAACCCAACAGGAAUCCUUAGAAAAUCCUAUAUUUUCCAGAAAAGUACGUUGUAAGUUAAAUCCUUUGAGUUGUGUGUAAGUAUUAUCAUUCAAAACCUUCAGUUGUAAAAGUACGAUAAUAAAUCUCGUAUGAGUAACAUAGAUGAAGAAAAUUUAUGCCUGUUGACAUUAGUAGUGGUGCAAACUUCC
RNAcentral lists this long non-coding RNA (6566 nucleotides) under Lactuca sativa (garden lettuce). Its description in RNAcentral is "long non-coding RNA (LSAT_LNC002651)". The record is from RNAcentral. Lineage: Eukaryota; Viridiplantae; Streptophyta; Magnoliopsida; Asterales; Asteraceae.